CACACCGCACUGCUUCAACCCAGUAGAUGGGGCCAGGCCUAGUACUCUGUGCACAAGCCAGAACCAUAGUCAAGCUUUCGCUUUCACUCCCGAAACGGAAAUUCCGGUUCAAGCCCCACCAUCAUCACCUCUACUAUGUACCUCGAAAUCUUCCUUCAACUCGCGUCUUUUGCGGUUGCGUUGGUUCCGAAACCCCAACGGUAGUAGAUAUAGCCACAUACAAUGAAGCUUUCUCAAGGCGAAUGGCCAUGGCCGGACUCAAACGCCGAAACCGUAUCGCUUUAGGAGUAUCCGGGGGACCUGAUAGCAUGGCCUUGUGUAUUCUAGCCGCUAAUUGGAAAACUGAAGGCCUAUGUGGGAAUGGCGACAGUGGCAAAUUCAUUGAUGGUCUUUUGGCAAUAAUUGUUGAUCAUGGGCUACGUCCAGAGAGCAAAGAUGAAGCAAGUCUAGUGGGACAUCGGGUUUCAGAAAUGGGAAUCAGAUGUGAGAUUGCCCGUUGUGAUUGGUUGAAUGGCAAGCCAAAACAAGGUCAUUUGCAAGAAGCUGCUCGUGACGGGAGGUAUAAAAUAUUUCAGGAUGUUUGUAUGCGAAACCAGAUCAGUGUUUUACUUGUUGCGCAUCAUGCAGAUGACCAGGCUGAGUUAUUCAUUCUUAGAUCAUCUCGUAAUAGUGGGGUCCUUGGACUUGCUGGCAUGGCAUUUACAUCUCAAGUGUUCUCGUCACAUACAUAUUUUUAUAACGAAGAUUGGAAAAAUCAUAGUGUUCUUCUAGUGCGACCACUGCUGGAUUUUUCAAAAGAAGACAUGUACAAGAUAUGUCAAGGGAGUAACCGGGGUUGGGUUGAGGAUCCAACAAAUCGAAGUCCUUUAUUUGCUCGGAAUAGGAUUCGGAUGUCAUUAGGAAAUUUGUCAUCAGGUAUCUUUAAGUCUGAACUACAAGCAGUUAUUUCUGCCUGUCGAAAAACACGCACCUAUAUUGAUCAAAUUUGCAAGAAUUUGAUAAAUCACACUGUUACCAUAAUGGAUCAAGGUUAUGCGGUUAUCAAUUUAAAGGCACUUGAUCCAUCAAAAAUUGAAGAUAUAUGCCUUUCUAAAUUUAUUGCAUUGGUUUUACAGUUUGUUUCACAAAGGCAAAGACCAAUUGGAGGUAAUACUUCAAAAUUGCUGUUGCAGUACAUACGUACCAUCCCAUGUAAGACCUCCCUUACUGCUGCUGGUUGCUACAUUUGUCCAGUUCCUGGGUCUAAGGGUGCCAAAGCUCUGGUCUGCUGCUCUGUCAAUUGUCCUCUGCCUUCAAAGACAGAAUUAUUUCGCACACUCUCUGGUGAAGAACAGGAGCAUUUUUUUUCAAAUGAGUUGGAACAAAUUAUAGCGAAUGGAAAAUCAUCUGAUAACUUGGCACCAGAUGCAUUCCAAGUGCAGUUUUUGGACACGAGGUCUGCAUCAGUUCUCGAUGAAGCCCAAAGACUAGAUAUUAUCAGUGAGUCAACCUAUGGAAACAUUUUUUUAUUGCAAAAGGAGGAAGUCAAACAUUUCAAGUUUAAAACUGAUGAAAUUGCAUCUGAGUGUGAGUCAAAGCAGGAAACUGAACAUGUUGCUGCAUUUCUGAGUGAACGACUUCUCCAUGGGCAAACAUGCUACUUCAUGAACCGCUUCAUUAUCUCAUGGAAACUAAGUGAGGAAAUUUCUAGUGAUGUGUUUCCUGGUGAAGUUUAUUGUCUUUCGUAUUUGGGAAGGGAAAAUCAGCACAGUCACUGCUGUUGUAUAAACAGGCAUGACAUGAUAGCCCAGGUGCGUACCAUGAUUGAAGCUGACUGGCUUUAUCUUGCGGAGUUGUCAAAGUGGCCAUGUUCAGAUGAUUCUGAAGUGAUAAGACUUCCAUUAACCAAGAAGAUAACAUGCUCAGAUUAUUCAAGGUUGUCGGCCAAAGGAGCACUUAAAUCACUGAAAUCUGUCCCUGUUGCUGCAAGAAGAAGCAUUCCUGUCCUGGUCAAUCAUCAUGGACAGCUACUAAGCAUCCCAAGCAUUGGCUUUAAUCAUUGCCCUUUCUUGAUGGCAUCUGCUGCAUUCAAGCCAAGAGUACCACUAGGCGGAGGACACAGCUCCUUUCUUUAGUCAUCGUAAAUUCUGUUCACCAGGCCUAUAAAUUUACACGUGCCAGGGAUUCCUGGACGAAUACCAUUUUUCCCAGAAAAAGCUUGGAGGAAUUCUGGUUCAUAAUGGAAAGCUUAUUGUUAAUGGGGUUGUACGAGAUGAAGAGUUCAUCAAUGAAGCACCUUCUUAUGAAAUGACACCAAUUGUAAGUAUUGAUUUCUAAUCUUAAGAAUCCUAUAGCUUUAAUUUUUAUUUCCAUAGGCCCAAGCCAAAUGAGUGGGGUGGCUAUUGAGCAGAAAAUUAUAGAUAAGUUUUGCCUGCAUGAGAGAGAUAAAGACUGAAAGAAUAGAAAGAAAGAGGGGAAGAUUGGAAGGGGUUUGGAGACAAUUGUGCUUACAAAACCUUUUCGGUGAAGUAGAGGAUGAACCAUGGUCUUGAGUUGAGGCACAAAUAUUUCACUAGUUGUACUUUUGCCUUAUUUGUAAGUUUGUGCCAUAUGUUUCUGAUUGUAUAUAUAUGCUAUUCAUGUUGCAGCUAGUACUG
RNA transcript from Durio zibethinus, 2636 nucleotides. It is a transcript of the gene named Adenine nucleotide alpha hydrolases-like superfamily protein, with no coding region annotated. The record is from RefSeq and is a predicted model, not a curated record. Lineage: Eukaryota; Viridiplantae; Streptophyta; Magnoliopsida; Malvales; Malvaceae.